UCAGGUGGUUAUAGCACGAGGGGUCCACCUCUUCCCAUUCCGAACAGAGAAGUUAAGCCUCGUCACGCCGAUGGUACUGCGUAACAGUGGGAGAGUAGGUAGCCGCCGUUU
This 111-nucleotide ribosomal RNA is filed under the name Bacteroides ovatus. Lineage: Bacteria; Pseudomonadati; Bacteroidota; Bacteroidia; Bacteroidales; Bacteroidaceae. The record is from RNAcentral.